AUGGGGCCGGAAUGGUUCCUGAACCUCAUGGCGGAGUGCGAUGAGGGCGGUCGUCUCAGAGUCCUCAUGUUGAUGUGGAGGUGUUGGUUCAUCCGGAAUGAGAUCCAACAUGACAAGAGACCACCGCCCAUGGAGGUUUCUCGACGAUUCUUACAUAGCUACAUCGCCUCGUUAUUAGGCAUACAUCAAUAUCCAGCCGGUGAGUGGGACAAGGGCAAGAUGGUUGUGCAUCUCGAUGGGGCGGAGCAACCAUUACCACAGGUGUCGAAAGAGCCGAACAUUCUGCGCAAAUGGCAACCGCCUCCGGUCGGAUGGGCCAAGUUGAAUGUUGAUGGGUCCUACACCCACGAAGAUGGUAGGGCGGGUACUGGGAUGGUCCUGCGCGGUCAUGAUGGUGGCAUCAUCUUCUUUGCUUGCCGCUAUUUGCGAUCAUGCUCUGGCCCUUUACAUGCUGAGCUUGAGGGAUGCCGGCAAGGCCUUGGCCUAGCCUUACAGUGGACUGAGCUAUCAUUCUUGAGUGCGAUAGCUUGCAUGCCGUAUCGAUGA
This 546-nucleotide ribosomal RNA is filed under the name Triticum aestivum (bread wheat). Its description in RNAcentral is "partial small subunit ribosomal RNA". The record is from RNAcentral. Lineage: Eukaryota; Viridiplantae; Streptophyta; Magnoliopsida; Poales; Poaceae.